RNAcentral lists this unclassified non-coding RNA (646 nucleotides) under uncultured Prochlorococcus sp. Its description in RNAcentral is "partial 16S-23S ribosomal RNA intergenic spacer; may also contain 16S ribosomal RNA and 23S ribosomal RNA". The stretch from base 305 to 377 matches the Rfam family "tRNA". Lineage: Bacteria; Bacillati; Cyanobacteriota; Cyanophyceae; Synechococcales; Prochlorococcaceae. The record is from RNAcentral.
UUGUGGAGGAGGACGCCGAAGGUGGGGCUAAUGACUGGGGUGAAGUCGUAACAAGGUAGCCGUACCGGAAGGUGCGGCUGGAUCACCUCCUAACAGGGAGACAACAAAAUGUUUAAUAUUAUUAUUUUGUCACCUUAGGUCGAUCGGUAUCUCAUGUUUUUAAUUUAUUAAAAAUUUCAUUUCCUAAGUUUUUCUAGGUCACACCCAUUAUUUUUCCUGGGCCAUUAGCUCAGGUGGUUAGAGCGCACUCCUGAUAAGGGUGAGGUCCCUGGUUCAAGUCUAGGAUGGCCCAUAUCUCUAUGUUGGGGGUAUAGCUCAGUUGGUAGAGCGCCUGCUUUGCAAGCAGGAUGUCAGCGGUUCGAGUCCGCUUACCUCCACUGAUUACCACCUCUUCCAUAACCGGUAUAAGGGAAAUGUUUUGAGUAGUGAUCAAAUUCUGAAAGAUUCUAGCUUCCUAAUGAAACCAUUAAGAUGCUGGACUCAUUGAAUUAAUCUCAUUGUUUUCAGAGAACCUUGACAACUGCAUAGAUUAUUUUUAAAGACAAUAAGCAUCUUUAAUGAUGCAGAUUUAUUAUUUGUGCGAAUGCAUUAAUAACAAUUCUAUUAAGCUGAUGCUUCAAUUUUGAAGUUAUUGGUCAAGCUACAA